Molecule: transfer RNA, 75 nt
Filed under: Holospora elegans E1
Lineage: Bacteria; Pseudomonadati; Pseudomonadota; Alphaproteobacteria; Holosporales; Holosporaceae
Description: tRNA-Asp
Rfam family: tRNA
About the family: Transfer RNA (tRNA) molecules are approximately 80 nucleotides in length. Their secondary structure includes four short double-helical elements and three loops (D, anti-codon, and T loops).
Source: RNAcentral
GGGGAUGUAGCUCAGUUGGUUAGAGCGCCGGCCUGUCACGUCGGAGGUCGCGGGUUCGAGUCCCGUCGUUCCCGC